RNAcentral lists this ribosomal RNA (238 nucleotides) under Escherichia coli. Its description in RNAcentral is "partial 23S ribosomal RNA". It matches the Rfam family "Bacterial large subunit ribosomal RNA", at positions 1 to 230 of the family's 2925-position model. The record is from RNAcentral. Lineage: Bacteria; Pseudomonadati; Pseudomonadota; Gammaproteobacteria; Enterobacterales; Enterobacteriaceae.
GGGUUGUGAGGUUAAGCGACUAAGCGUACACGGUGGAUGCCCUGGCAGUCAGAGGCGAUGAAGGACGUGCUAAUCUGCGAUAAGCGUCGGUAAGGUGAUAUGAACCGUUAUAACCGGCGAUUUCCGAAUGGGGAAACCCAGUGUGAUUCGUCACACUAUCAUUAACUGAAUCCAUAGGUUAAUGAGGCGAACCGGGGGAACUGAAACAUCUAAGUACCCCGAGGAAAAGAAAUCAACC